AUGCACUGCCGAAGCAUCGCAACAACUCACAUGCCCUCGGAGAUGAAGAGUGCGCUGCCCGUCUCCUCCGCUCACCCUGCCAACUCGCGCCGGCUUCCCUGCAUCACCGGCGGCUUGCGCUCUCCGAACCCAGGCGAGGACACGGCCGCGCCGGGAUAUGCUGAGAACCAGCGAGGCGUAGUCAGCCGUAGUGCUGCUGCAAAUGCGAACAAAGUAUGCGCCUUCCCAAGCCAGGACACGGACACGGACACGGACACGGCCACCACCGUGGAGGUCCAAGGAAGCAGCAGAUGGAAACCGGCUCUGUGCGUGAUUCUUGUGGAGCUGUUCAACACAGGGACUAUACUUCUAGGCAAGGUCGCACUUGAUGGUGGCAUGUUUGUCUUCUCCUUGCUAUGUUAUCGAAGUAUUCUGGCCGCUAUUUUCAUCAUGCCGUUUGCUCUAUUCUUCGAAAGUGGGAAGUGGAGGGAAUUGGAUAUGAAGACUCUUGGGUGGCUCUUCAUCAAUGCUUUUAUCGGAUAUUCGUUGCCCAUGGCUUUGUACUACUAUGGAUUACGGGACACACCUGCCUCCUAUGCUGUGAUCUUCUCAAGUUUGACUCCACUUUUCACCUUUAUCUUGUCCAUAAUUCUUGGCAUGGAGAAGUUGCGCGUAAAGUCCAAGGACGGCAGUGCGAAAGUGAUUGGAGCAUUGGUUUGUUUUGGUGGGGCUCUACUAAUAAGUCUUUACAAAGGAAAAGAGUUGCAUCUCUGGUCUCCAAUUAUAAGAGUGACCCCAAAAGAUUCUAAUGGAGCUGCUGGAAAGCAUCAUUUGAGGGGCACCUUGAUUUUGUUUGGUGCUUUCAGCAGCUAUGCACUUUGGUACCCUAUACAGGUGAAAGUUUUGAAGGUGUAUCCAUGGAAACAUUGGUCCUCUGUGCUGACCUGUGUUCUGGGUGGUGUGCAAACUUUCGCCAUCGGAAUAAUUAUGAGCAGGCACAAACUUGCCUGGCAAAUAGGAUGGAACAUUCAACUACUAACCAUUGUCUACUCAGCUGCACUUGGCACAGCGGCCAAGUAUUGGCUGAACUUAUAUGCUGUUGAAAAGCGGGGGCCAGUUUUUCCAGCCAUGUUCAGCACCUUAUCGACGAUCUUCAUCAUAGUUCUAGGAACGCUGUUGCUAGGAGAAAGCCUCACAGUUGGGAGCUUGAUGGGUAGUGCUCUAGUUAUAGGAGGUCUAUACAUAUACCUCUAUGGAAAGGCCAAUGAACAACACGCGAAGACGGCAUCGGUUACAGGGAUGCAAAAGGAGGAGGACAAAGAGAUUCAGCGGUCUGGUGUUGGUGUGACGACUGAGGAGAGGCCACACCCUGUGCUGUUAGAGAGCUCCGUUAUCCAGCUUGACGAGGAGCUGGACGCAGGGGUCUCCAAGUGA
This 1413-nucleotide ribosomal RNA is filed under the name Triticum aestivum (bread wheat). Its description in RNAcentral is "partial small subunit ribosomal RNA". Lineage: Eukaryota; Viridiplantae; Streptophyta; Magnoliopsida; Poales; Poaceae. The record is from RNAcentral.